UCCUGUAUGCGCAUUUUUAUUAUUUUCUUUAAUGUUUCCAUUCCCCACACUAGUGCAGUUAACAAUCAAAUCGAUGAACUUACGGUUAUCAUUAACGAAAGGGCACAAGUAUGCAUACAGCAAUGACCCCUACAACAUUCAACUCAAUUGAUUGAUUGAAUGGAUGAAAAUCAUUAAUCAUCCAACCAAGCAAAAGGCUAAGGCAAAGAAUAGAUGCAAAGUCCCUCAAAACAUUUUCAUCAUUUUACAAAACUAAUUACAUUCCAUUGGGGGCAAGAAACUGAUUUGGUUGUUUCUCGAGGUCAUUUGAAUUCAUCCCAAGCAAAUCCACUAAUCGACCUUUUCUUCAUCAAUCCCUCUUUAGGCAUAAAUAAAUAUAGGUGCUCAAUUGAUUCUAGGCUUUUCCUAUCAAAAGAAUAUGACAUUUUCUGAACCAUACCCCAAAAACACCAUAAGCAUUGUGAAACAAAGAGAAAAUAAACUAUAUUUGCAGCACUUAACAAAGACACCCAUCACAAAGCUAACAUCAAAAAAGAUAAGCAUUUAGUUCUAAAAAGAAAACAUUGUUCAUGUAGAUGAAAAAAGGGUUCAACAAAAAUACAAAACUAAACCAUAAAAAUUAUAAAGAUAAAUCUCAAAUCCUUUAACAAAAAAGAAAGUACCCAUCAAGCAACAUUAGGCUACUUAGAUCUUUGUCUCAUCUUUCUUCUCUUCCUCUUCAAACGCCUCAUACGCUUCUUCUUCCACUGUAAUUACCAAAAGAGAAAAAUAAAUAAAUAUAACCAUCAGUUUUUCAAUGAGAAAGAAUCAAUGAAAAGAACAGAGAGAUGUGUAGAUUCUUUUUACCUUAGCUCUCAUGGUGAAAAGGGUUCGAAAUUCGUUUCCUUUUGCAGUCUCAGGAUCGGGUAUCUUCUAGAGAGCACGCGGCGAGAAUUGAAGGAAGAACACUUUCAUUUGAGAUCAUAUAUAUCGAAUAGCUAAACCCUAGAAGCCUCAAUAGUGCGGUUUGGUAAGUGUUGGGGAAUUGGGCUCUGAUAUUAUAUUGGGUUAAUGGAAUCUAA
Molecule: long non-coding RNA, 1061 nt
Filed under: Gossypium barbadense (sea-island cotton)
Lineage: Eukaryota; Viridiplantae; Streptophyta; Magnoliopsida; Malvales; Malvaceae
Description: long non-coding RNA (GBAR_LNC012081)
Source: RNAcentral